This 372-nucleotide ribosomal RNA is filed under the name uncultured organism. RNAcentral's name for it is "partial 16S ribosomal RNA". It matches the Rfam family "Bacterial small subunit ribosomal RNA", at positions 527 to 896 of the family's 1533-position model. The record is from RNAcentral.
GUAGGUGGCAAGCGUUGUCCGGAAUUAUUGGGCGUAAAGCGCGCGCAGGCGGUUCUUUGAGUCUGAUGUGAAAGCCCACGGCUCAACCGUGGAGGGUCAUUGGAAACUGGAGAACUUGAGUACAGAAGAGGAAAGCGGAAUUCCACGUGUAGCGGUGAAAUGCGUAGAGAUGUGGAGGAACACCAGUGGCGAAGGCGGCUUUCUGGUCUGUAACUGACGCUGAGGCGCGAAAGCGUGGGGGAGCAAACAGGAUUAGAUACCCUGGUAGUCCACGCCGUAAACGAUGAGUGCUAAGUGUUAGGGGGUUUCCGCCCCUUAGUGCCUGCAGCUAACGCAUUAAGCACUCCGCCUGGGAGUACGGCCGCAAGGCUG